RNAcentral lists this ribosomal RNA (425 nucleotides) under uncultured bacterium. Its description in RNAcentral is "bacterial SSU rRNA". It matches the Rfam family "Bacterial small subunit ribosomal RNA", at positions 354 to 796 of the family's 1533-position model. The record is from RNAcentral.
GUGGGGAAUCUUGCACAAUGGGCGAAAGCCUGAUGCAGCCAUGCCGCGUGAAUGAUGAAGGCCUUAGGGUUGUAAAAUUCUUUCGCCAGGGAUGAUAAUGACAGUACCUGGUAAAGAAGCCCCGGCUAACUUCGUGCCAGCAGCCGCGGUAAUACGAAGGGGGCUAGCGUUGUUCGGAAUUACUGGGCGUAAAGCGCACGUAGGCGGACUUUUAAGUCAGAUGUGAAAUCCCGGGGCUCAACCUCGGAACUGCAUUUGAAACUGGAAGUCUGGAGUUCAGGAGAGGUUAGCGGAAUACCGAGUGUAGAGGUGAAAUUCGUAGAUAUUCGGUGGAACACCAGUGGCGAAGGCGGCUAACUGGACUGAUACUGACGCUGAGGUGCGAAAGUGUGGGGAGCAAACAGGAUUAGAUACCCUAGUAGUCC